AUUGAACGCUGGCGGCAUGCCUUACACAUGCAAGUCGAACGGCAGCACGGGAGCAAUCCUGGUGGCGAGUGGCGAACGGGUGAGUAAUAUAUCGGAACGUGCCCAGUGAUGGGGGAUAGCCCGGCGAAAGCCGGAUUAAUACCGCAUACGACCUACGGGUGAAAGCAGGGGAUCGCAAGACCUUGCGUCAUUGGAGCGGCCGAUAUCAGAUUAGCUUGNGGUGGGGUAAAAGCCUACCAAGGCGACGAUCUGUAGCUGGUCUGAGAGGACGACCAGCCACACUGGGACUGAGACACGGCCCCAGACUCCUACGGGAGGCAGCAGUGGGGAAUUUUGGACAAUGGGCGCAAGCCUGAUCCA
This 360-nucleotide ribosomal RNA is filed under the name uncultured bacterium. Its description in RNAcentral is "bacterial SSU rRNA". It matches the Rfam family "Bacterial small subunit ribosomal RNA", at positions 30 to 390 of the family's 1533-position model. The record is from RNAcentral.